UACGUAGGGUGCGAGCGUUGUCCGGAAUUACUGGGCAUAAAGAGCUCGUAGGUGGUUUGUCACGUCGUCUGUGAAAUUCCGGGGCUUAACCUCGGGCGUGCAGGCGAUACGGGCAAUACUUGAGUGCUGUAGGGGAGACUGGAAUUCCUGGUGUAGCGGUGAAAUGCGCAGAUAUCAGGAGGAACACCAAUGGCGAAGGCAGGUCUCUGGGCAGUUACUGACGCUGAGGAGCGAAAGCAUGGGUAGCGAACAGGAUUA
This 258-nucleotide ribosomal RNA is filed under the name uncultured prokaryote. RNAcentral describes it as "partial 16S ribosomal RNA". It matches the Rfam family "Bacterial small subunit ribosomal RNA", at positions 524 to 780 of the family's 1533-position model. The record is from RNAcentral.